AGCUUUGUGUAAUGGUAGUAUCAUAGCCAGUGAGGUGUAUCCAAGACGUGAUUGUUGCUAACAGAAAAGUAUAAUAUGUAAUCAGAAAAAUGUAGAUGUCUUAAAUAGUCAGCUUGAUGAAUUUCUAUAACCUGAACAG
This is a small nuclear RNA of Heterocephalus glaber (naked mole-rat), 139 nucleotides long. Its record names the gene U4. It matches the Rfam family "U4 spliceosomal RNA". From Rfam's summary of the family: U4 small nuclear RNA (U4 snRNA) is a component of the major U2-dependent spliceosome. The structure of U4 snRNA from yeast and human has been reported. NCBI's taxonomy places the organism in Eukaryota, Metazoa, Chordata, Mammalia, Rodentia, Bathyergidae. The record is from Ensembl.